GGAAAUGUGCCUGAACAAAGGGUCACUAUGAUAAAGUGAACAUAGAGGUAACCAGUCCUCUCAUUUCCU
RNAcentral lists this transfer RNA (69 nucleotides) under Lanius excubitor (northern shrike). RNAcentral describes it as "tRNA-Ile". The record is from RNAcentral. Lineage: Eukaryota; Metazoa; Chordata; Aves; Passeriformes; Laniidae.